CAACCCUCAAGCUCUGCUUGGUGUUGGGGUCCUACUUUGUAGGCCCUAAAAACUAGUGGCAGGCUCACUAUAACUCCGAGCGUAGUAGUAAUAUAUCGCUAGGGAAGUGUAGUGGGUUCUAGCCGUAAAACCCCCCAUUUUAAAAGG
This 147-nucleotide unclassified non-coding RNA is filed under the name uncultured Cordana. RNAcentral's name for it is "sequence contains ITS2". The record is from RNAcentral. Lineage: Eukaryota; Fungi; Ascomycota.